AGAGAGUUGGCAGAAUAGAUUUAUUGCGUUUAAUUUGAGAUUAAAUUUGUAAGGGUUUAAGCCCCUUACUCUCUU
RNAcentral lists this transfer RNA (75 nucleotides) under Babesia orientalis. RNAcentral describes it as "tRNA-Ser". It matches the Rfam family "tRNA". From Rfam's summary of the family: Transfer RNA (tRNA) molecules are approximately 80 nucleotides in length. Their secondary structure includes four short double-helical elements and three loops (D, anti-codon, and T loops). Lineage: Eukaryota; Apicomplexa; Aconoidasida; Piroplasmida; Babesiidae. The record is from RNAcentral.